UACGUAGGUGGCAAGCGUUAUCCGGAAUUACUGGGUGUAAAGGGAGCGCAGGCGGGCUCUCAAGUUGGAUGUGAAAUACCGCGGCUCAACCGCGGGGCUGCAUCCAAAACUGGGAGUCUUGAGUGAAGUAGAGGUAGGCGGAAUUCCUAGUGUAGCGGUGAAAUGCGUAGAUAUUAGGAGGAACACCAGUGGCGAAGGCGGCCUACUGGGCUUUUACUGACGCUGAGGCUCGAAAGCGUGGGGAGCAAACAGG
This 253-nucleotide ribosomal RNA is filed under the name uncultured bacterium. Its description in RNAcentral is "partial 16S ribosomal RNA". It matches the Rfam family "Bacterial small subunit ribosomal RNA", at positions 524 to 776 of the family's 1533-position model. The record is from RNAcentral.